UACGUAGGGUGCAAGCGUUGUCCGGAAUUAUUGGGCGUAAAGAGCUCGUAGGCGGUUUGUCGCGUCUGCUGUGAAAACUCGGGGCUUAACCCCGGGCCUGCAGUGGGUACGGGCAGACUAGAGUGCGGUAGGGGAGACUGGAAUUCCGGGUGUAGUGGUGGAAUGCGUAGAGAUCCGGAGGAACACCAGCGGCGAAGGCGGCAUCCUGGACUGGUCCUGACGCUCAGGAGCGAAAGCGUGGGGAGCGAUCCGG
RNAcentral lists this ribosomal RNA (253 nucleotides) under uncultured bacterium. RNAcentral's name for it is "partial 16S ribosomal RNA". It matches the Rfam family "Bacterial small subunit ribosomal RNA", at positions 524 to 776 of the family's 1533-position model. The record is from RNAcentral.